RNAcentral lists this transfer RNA (91 nucleotides) under hydrothermal vent metagenome. Its description in RNAcentral is "tRNA-Ser-GCT". It matches the Rfam family "tRNA". Rfam says of the family: Transfer RNA (tRNA) molecules are approximately 80 nucleotides in length. Their secondary structure includes four short double-helical elements and three loops (D, anti-codon, and T loops). Further hydrogen bonds mediate the characteristic L-shaped molecular structure. tRNAs have two regions of fundamental functional importance: the anti-codon, which is responsible for specific mRNA codon recognition, and the 3' end, to which the tRNAs corresponding amino acid is attached (by aminoacyl-tRNA synthetases). tRNAs cope with the degeneracy of the genetic code in two manners: having more than one tRNA (with a specific anti-codon) for a particular amino acid; and 'wobble' base-pairing, i.e. permitting non-standard base-pairing at the 3rd anti-codon position. The record is from RNAcentral.
GGAGAGGUGGCCGAGCUGGCUGAAGGCGCUCGCCUGCUAAGUGAGUAUACCUCUAUAAAGGGUAUCGAGGGUUCGAAUCCCUCCCUCUCCG